UGGAGUAUAGCCAAGAGGCAAGGCGUCGGAUUUUGAUUCCGUGAGCAAAGGUUCGAAUCCUUUUACUCCAG
Molecule: transfer RNA, 71 nt
Filed under: Ostreobium quekettii
Lineage: Eukaryota; Viridiplantae; Chlorophyta; Ulvophyceae; Bryopsidales; Ostreobiaceae
Description: tRNA-Gln
Rfam family: tRNA
About the family: Transfer RNA (tRNA) molecules are approximately 80 nucleotides in length. Their secondary structure includes four short double-helical elements and three loops (D, anti-codon, and T loops).
Source: RNAcentral